UACGGAGGGUGCAAGCGUUGUCCGGAUUUAUUGGGUUUAAAGGGUGCGUAGGCGGUUCUUUAAGUCCGGGGUGAAAGCCCACUGCUCAACAGUGGAACUGCCCUGGAAACUGGCGAACUUGAGUACAGACGAGGGCGGCGGAAUGGAUGGUGUAGCGGUGAAAUGCAUAGAUACCAUCCAGAACCCCGAUUGCGAAGGCAGCUGCCUAGACUGUAACUGACGCUGAGGCACGAAAGCGUGGGGAGCGAACAGG
RNAcentral lists this ribosomal RNA (253 nucleotides) under uncultured bacterium. Its description in RNAcentral is "partial 16S ribosomal RNA". It matches the Rfam family "Bacterial small subunit ribosomal RNA", at positions 524 to 776 of the family's 1533-position model. The record is from RNAcentral.